GCCCAGGUGGCGGAAUUGGUAGACGCGCUAGCUUCAGGUGCUAGUGAGGGUAACCUCGUGGGAGUUCAAGUCUCCCUCUGGGCACCA
Molecule: transfer RNA, 87 nt
Filed under: Woeseiaceae bacterium
Lineage: Bacteria; Pseudomonadati; Pseudomonadota; Gammaproteobacteria; Woeseiales; Woeseiaceae
Description: tRNA-Leu
Rfam family: tRNA
About the family: Transfer RNA (tRNA) molecules are approximately 80 nucleotides in length. Their secondary structure includes four short double-helical elements and three loops (D, anti-codon, and T loops). Further hydrogen bonds mediate the characteristic L-shaped molecular structure. tRNAs have two regions of fundamental functional importance: the anti-codon, which is responsible for specific mRNA codon recognition, and the 3' end, to which the tRNAs corresponding amino acid is attached (by aminoacyl-tRNA synthetases). tRNAs cope with the degeneracy of the genetic code in two manners: having more than one tRNA (with a specific anti-codon) for a particular amino acid; and 'wobble' base-pairing, i.e. permitting non-standard base-pairing at the 3rd anti-codon position.
Source: RNAcentral